Long non-coding RNA from Peromyscus maniculatus bairdii (prairie deer mouse), 565 nucleotides. RefSeq lists it as uncharacterized. Lineage: Eukaryota; Metazoa; Chordata; Mammalia; Rodentia; Cricetidae. The record is from RefSeq and is a predicted model, not a curated record.
UAACCAUGCUGAAUAUGGCAGCUCUAACUGUGCUCAGUGAGUUAUAAAGGAAGAAAUAAGAGAAGAGAGCAUGAAACUGGGAGAGAACAUGGUGGGGUCUGGGAGAAGUUGAGCGAUUCUUUCCCUGAGAAGUGCAUCUGUGAUGCCCGCCUGUGCUGCUGUAUGUUAUCAUAGCUUGAUCCUCCGAACUGUCCAGUAUUAUUCUACUAUUGGUUCAUGAAUCUGAGCUCUUUCUGACACAUCCAAGUAAAUCCAAGAGGCCACGUGUGUCGGAAAAAUUACGCACCAUGGGAUAGAGGAAGUUGCCAAGUCACCCAGCUUAGCAGAGCCAUUCCACUGUUAGGCGUGUUGACCAAAUAAAUUGAAUGGCAACUAAGACAGGAUACCACGUUUCAAAGUUGGCAGCCUUCAAGUAGGAGAAAAAUCCUUUCUAGAUGGCCACGUCAUUCGGAAGAAACCAAAGGGGCAGACUCCAAAGCUCUGCUCAGAUAGUUUUGUUGUGCUUUGUUUUUAAUUUAAUCUACCAGGGAAAAACUGGGUUUAGAAAGCAAAAUUGAAAUCUAUU